Salvelinus sp. IW2-2015 is the source of this 517-nucleotide non-coding RNA. The record is from RefSeq and is a predicted model, not a curated record. Lineage: Eukaryota; Metazoa; Chordata; Actinopteri; Salmoniformes; Salmonidae.
UAUGCCCGGGCAGCAACUGUUGUUGGACUUUAAACGACAGAUGAAGACAAGCUGAUGAACAGAGCAGGGAAAGAGAGCACGAUGGAGAGAAGCGAGGUCAAAGYGUGAGGUCCAUAGAGAGUGGAGGAGGUAAAGAAGGAAGGAGAGAGGUAAUAGAAGGAGGUUAGACUAGACUGGUCUACGUGCAUUUUGACAGGAUGACGAAUCAGCAGCCAGUCCACCAGUCUAACAAGGCCCAUUAUGAUGAGGCKCUGCCACCCAUUGUUGGCGCUGGAGUGUUGGACUUGUUGGAACCCAAACUUCCCAAUAGUURCUUGGGAACCUACUGUGGCUUCCUCAUCCGAAACUCACUGCUCGUCCUCACUAUACUGGGUGUAAUAGCGGGGUCGCUUGUGGAUGCUGCUGCGGUAUGUUUCUGUUACAGACCCCAACACCCUGAUGCUGGUGUCCUUUCCUGGAGACAUCCUCAUGAGGAUGCUGAAGAUGCUCAUCUCCCCUCAUCAUCUCCAGCCUCAUC